AAGCCAUGCAGUAAGCACAGAGCGAACUAUUCUUUUGCCUUUUAAUCGUGUGCUUGCUGCAAUUUAGUGGGCAUACGUUUAUUUUUGGUGGGGUUUCUUUCUCAAAGAAGCU
Ziziphus jujuba (common jujube) is the source of this 112-nucleotide small nuclear RNA. RefSeq annotates it as U5 spliceosomal RNA. The record is from RefSeq and is a predicted model, not a curated record. The transcript has a single exon. NCBI's taxonomy places the organism in Eukaryota, Viridiplantae, Streptophyta, Magnoliopsida, Rosales, Rhamnaceae.